GAUGAACGCUGGCGGCAUGCCUAAGACAUGCAAGUCGAACGAGGUGGCCCAAAGAAGAUUGAGUGCUUGCACAAGAUUGGACUUGGAUUACCACCUAGUGGCGGACGGGUGAGUAACACGUAGGUGACCUGCCUUUGAGUUUGGGAUAACUAUUAGAAAUGAUAGCUAAUACCGGAUUAAAUGCAGAUUCGUUUCUGUAUUAAAAGGAGCCUUUAAAGCUUCGCUUAAAGAUGGGCCUGCGGCGUAUUAGCUAGUUGGUGAGGUAAUGGCUUACCAAGGCGACGAUGCGUAGCCGAACUGAGAGGUUGAUCGGCCACAUUGGGACUGAGACACGGCCCAAACUCCUACGGGAGACAGCAGUUAGGAAUAUUCGUCAAUGGGGAAACCCUGAACGAGCAAUGCCGCGUGAACGAUGAAGGCCCUAAUGGGGUUGUAAAAGGUUUCUGUUGCAUGGGACGAACGAUUAGGAUAGGAAAUGAUCUUAAUGUGACGGUACCAUGACC
Molecule: ribosomal RNA, 503 nt
Filed under: uncultured bacterium
Lineage: Bacteria
Description: bacterial SSU rRNA
Rfam family: Bacterial small subunit ribosomal RNA
Source: RNAcentral